This 276-nucleotide ribosomal RNA is filed under the name Ulmerochorema membrum. RNAcentral describes it as "partial 18S small subunit ribosomal RNA". It matches the Rfam family "Eukaryotic small subunit ribosomal RNA", at positions 1273 to 1482 of the family's 1831-position model. Lineage: Eukaryota; Metazoa; Arthropoda; Insecta; Trichoptera; Hydrobiosidae. The record is from RNAcentral.
AGUUGGUGCAUGGCCGUUCUUAGUUGGUGGAGCGAUUUGUCAGGUUAAUUCCGGUAACGAACGUAACUCUAGCCUAUUAAAUAGACGUGCAACCGGUAUCACGAGGGUCCGCGCGUGCGCGGUUGUCGCGAUCGGCGUUCACGCGUCGUCCCGCGGCUCCGCGUCGUGUGGUCUUCACUACCGGCGUACAAUGAAAAUCUUCUUAGAGGGACCGGCGGUAUAUAUAGCCGCACGAGAUUGAGCAAUAGCAGGUCUGUGAUGCCCUUAGAUGGUCAU